RNAcentral lists this transfer RNA (64 nucleotides) under Petrolisthes haswelli. RNAcentral's name for it is "tRNA-Lys". The record is from RNAcentral. Lineage: Eukaryota; Metazoa; Arthropoda; Malacostraca; Decapoda; Porcellanidae.
CACCCGAUGGCUGAAUUUUAAGUGUAGGUCUUUUAAACCUAAGAUAGUAUUUUACUUCAGGUGA